GAGGGUGUAGUUCAGUGGUAGAGUGCGUGCUUAGCAUGCAUGAGGUCCUGGGCUCAAGCCACAGUGCCUCCA
Molecule: transfer RNA, 72 nt
Filed under: Camelus bactrianus (Bactrian camel)
Lineage: Eukaryota; Metazoa; Chordata; Mammalia; Artiodactyla; Camelidae
Also listed under: 1 other name
Rfam family: tRNA
About the family: Transfer RNA (tRNA) molecules are approximately 80 nucleotides in length. Their secondary structure includes four short double-helical elements and three loops (D, anti-codon, and T loops).
Source: Rfam by way of RNAcentral